GAGGAUUCAGUCGAGGUUGUAAUUGAGAAAUUGCUCAACGUAACCAAGGACGUUUCUCCAAAAGUCUCAAAUGAAGCUGAGCAUUGUUUAACUACGGUGUUGUCUCAGUAUGAUUCAUUUAGAUGCUUAAGUGUUGUUGUUCCUUUGCUUGUCACGGAAGACGAGAAGACUCUUGUAACCUGUAUUAACUGUUUGACAAAGCUUGUGGGGAGGUUCUCCCAGGAAGAACUGAUGUCUCAGCUAUCUUCAUUCUUACCUGCCCUGUUUGAUGCCUUUGGAAACCAGAGUGCAGAUGUU
This 297-nucleotide unclassified non-coding RNA is filed under the name Hevea brasiliensis (rubber tree). The record is from RNAcentral. Lineage: Eukaryota; Viridiplantae; Streptophyta; Magnoliopsida; Malpighiales; Euphorbiaceae.